GACGAACGCUGGCGGCGUGCUUAACACAUGCAAGUCGAACGAUGAAGCCGGAGCUUGCUCCGGUGGAUUAGUGGCGAACGGGUGAGUAACACGUGAGCAAUCUGCCCUUGACUCUGGGAUAACUGCGGGAAACUGUAGCUAAUACCGGAUACGACACCUUGGGGCAUCCCAGGGUGUGGAAAGAAUUUCGGUCAAGGAUGAGCUCGCGGCCUAUCAGCUAGUUGGUGAGGUAAUGGCUCACCAAGGCGACGACGGGUAGCCGGCCUGAGAGGGUGACCGGCCACACUGGAACUGAGACACGGUCCAGACUCCUACGGGAGGCAGCAGUGGGGAAUAUUGCACAAUGGGCGAAAGCCUGAUGCAGCAACGCCGCGUGAGGGAUGAAGGCCUUCGGGUUGUAAACCCCUUUUAGCAGGGAAGAAGCGAGAGUGACGGUACCUGCAGAAAAAGCACCGGCUAACUACGUGCCAGCCGCCGCAGUAA
This 483-nucleotide ribosomal RNA is filed under the name uncultured bacterium. RNAcentral describes it as "partial 16S ribosomal RNA". It matches the Rfam family "Bacterial small subunit ribosomal RNA", at positions 28 to 523 of the family's 1533-position model. The record is from RNAcentral.